This 301-nucleotide ribosomal RNA is filed under the name uncultured bacterium. Its description in RNAcentral is "partial 16S ribosomal RNA". It matches the Rfam family "Bacterial small subunit ribosomal RNA", at positions 509 to 807 of the family's 1533-position model. The record is from RNAcentral.
CAGCAGCCGCGGGAAUACGAAGGGGGCUAGCGUUGCUCGGAAUGACUGGGCGUAAAGGGCGCGUAGGCGGAUGGCACAGUCAGAUGUGAAAUUCCCGGGCUUAACCUGGGGGCUGCAUUUGAUACGUGUUGUCUAGAGUGAGGAAGAGGGUCGUGGAAUUCCCAGUGUAGAGGUGAAAUUCGUAGAUAUUGGGAGGAACACCGAUGGCGAAGGCAAUCCCCUGGGCCUGCACUGACGCUCACGCACGAAAGCGUGGGGAGCAAACAGGAUUAGAUACCCCUGUAGUCCCUGUCUCUUAUAC